UGGGGAAUAUUGGACAAUGGGCGCAAGCCUGAUCCAGCCAUGCCGCGUGGGUGAAGAAGGCCUUCGGGUUGUAAAGCCCUUUUGUUGGGGAAGAAAUCGUACGGGGUAAUAUCCCGUGCGGAUGACGGUACCCAAAGAAUAAGCACCGGCUAACUUCGUGCCAGCAGCCGCGGUAAUACGAAGGGUGCAAGCGUUACUCGGAAUUACUGGGCGUAAAGCGUGCGUAGGCGGUUCGUUAAGUCUGUCGUGAAAGCCCUGGGCUCAACCUGGGAAUUGCGAUGGAUACUGGCGAGCUAGAGUACGGUAGAGGAUGGUGGAAUUCCCGGUGUAGCGGUGAAAUGCGUAGAGAUCGGGAGGAACACCCGUGGCGAAGGCGGCCAUCUGGACCAGUACUGACGCUGAGGCACGAAAGCGUGGGGAGCAAACA
RNAcentral lists this ribosomal RNA (427 nucleotides) under uncultured Dokdonella sp. RNAcentral describes it as "bacterial SSU rRNA". It matches the Rfam family "Bacterial small subunit ribosomal RNA", at positions 355 to 774 of the family's 1533-position model. Lineage: Bacteria; Pseudomonadati; Pseudomonadota; Gammaproteobacteria; Lysobacterales; Rhodanobacteraceae. The record is from RNAcentral.